CGUCGGAGCGAACGUUUGCGGCGGGCCUAACACAUGCAAGUCGAACGCACUAACAAUAGUCAGUGGCGCACGGGUGCGUAACACGUGGGUAAUCAACCCUUCAGCCUGGGAUAACGAUCUGAAAGGAUCGCUAAUACCGGAUGCGAUGCGAGGAACCUCGGUUUUCGCAGGAAAGCUUCGCAAGGAGCACUGAAGGACGAGCCUGCGGCCCAUCAGCUAGUUGGUGAGGUAAAAGCUCACCAAGGCGAAGACGGGUAGCUGGUCUGAGAGGAUGAUCAGCGACACUGGAACUGAGACACGGUCCAGACUCCUACGGGAGGCAGCAGUGGGGAAUAUUGCGCAAUGGGCGAAAGCCUGACGCAGCCACGCCGCGUGAGCGAUGAAGGCCUUCGGGUCGUAAAGCUCUGUGGGGAGAGAAGAAGAAAGCGGGUGAAGAAUCCGCCUUGACGGUAUCUCCUUAGCAAGCACCGGCUAACUCCGUG
RNAcentral lists this ribosomal RNA (482 nucleotides) under uncultured bacterium. Its description in RNAcentral is "bacterial SSU rRNA". It matches the Rfam family "Bacterial small subunit ribosomal RNA", at positions 27 to 507 of the family's 1533-position model. The record is from RNAcentral.